Tribolium castaneum (red flour beetle) is the source of this 803-nucleotide long non-coding RNA. RefSeq lists it as uncharacterized. NCBI's taxonomy places the organism in Eukaryota, Metazoa, Arthropoda, Insecta, Coleoptera, Tenebrionidae. The record is from RefSeq and is a predicted model, not a curated record. The transcript is spliced from 2 exons.
GUUAAUUACAAUUAAUAAUAUAUAGCCUUGUAAAAAAACAUUUGUAACUAAACCGGAAGUAAUAAAAAUAAGGUAAUAAGGACGUAGUUAUAAUUUUAUGGUGACAAAUAACUCGUAUCUUGCAUAGUUCUCUCAAAAAAAAGUUGCGUACAUAGAUAUGGAAAAAUGUAAUGUUUUGAAAUGUUUGUAGAAAAUAAGCGGUUGUAAGUGCAGUGCCCGCUCUCGAUCGACGGUGUACCGGUUUAGGGAAUUGCAAAAAUCGGUUGACAUAACUUAGUAUAUGCCGAAAAGCGGUCUGCAUCGGCUACCGCAAGUACAGUGUCCACUCUUGGUUGUGUACAGUCAAUUCAAGAACGUUGCAGCAUUUCCAUAUCAGAGCCUGCUAUGCAAAUCUAGAAUCAAAGAUGCCGGUGCCUGCACGUUACCAUGGUUACCCCGACGCAAUUGUUUAUAUCCCUCGUUUGUAGAGAGCUGCCUGCUUCUUCUGGUGUGCCGCACUCUCUUAAGUUAUGGACGUCUGCCGCUGACCGAACGGGAUGUAAGCUACCCGCGGACCAAGAAAGUGAUUUAGGUAUGGAGAAGAUGACUGCGUCAGUUUUUUCAGAGAUUAUUUAAUGAGACCUAUCGGGACGAGGAAGAUUUACCGGUCACGACCGGACCAACAGAUCUUAUCGGGAUAAUAAGACUGCGACAACAAUUAGAACGCGCAGGAUUCUAGGGACACGAUCUGGAAAAUCUCCCACAAAUUACAAAUUUUAGGAAAAAAGACACAAUAUUUUUCACUUGAUAAGAUCAUUUUGAAA